Molecule: unclassified non-coding RNA, 689 nt
Filed under: Hevea brasiliensis (rubber tree)
Lineage: Eukaryota; Viridiplantae; Streptophyta; Magnoliopsida; Malpighiales; Euphorbiaceae
Source: RNAcentral
CGUCGAACAAGAGUAUGAAGUAGUUGGUAGCAAGUGAGAGCCUGCAAAUCCUUUUCCCCAGGAUAAGACAAAAGCGUUGUCACUGAGAUGCGAACAAUAGUGUCAAGCACAAGUUUUCCCUGAUUAUGUUCUCCAAAAAAGCUGAGCAAGGCUUUUCUGGAGUGCAAUUGCCGAAACUGAUAUUCAUGAUCAUGACCUGAAUUGAAAUUACGGUCCCUAAAUUCUUCUGGCAUGAGAUAUGUACGAGACCAUCUGGCAAGAAACCAUAUAACAGCCUCCAUUAGACGAGGACUGAAAACUGAAGCUCUCACUUCUGGAUCUAAACUCUGCUCAGCAAACUUUAUAAUUGAGAUUGAGAGCACAACAACUGGAUGUUUGUCUGCCUCCAGAAUGUCCACAAAAUGAGUUUGUAUGGUAUUCGGAAUCAAGGGUGUUUCUCCCUCCCCUUCAUCUGCAAGUACAUGCCCAGUUAUCAAUAAUAAUGAGUAAAGUUCCUCCAAAGUUGGCGUUGGAUCAAUGAUGCCCCUGCCCUGAUGAAUCCGUGCAACAAGCUCAGAAAAGAGUCUUGUGAGUAAUAGAGUUGCGACAUCAACUGCUGCUCUUGCUAUAAGAGCAUAAGAACUUAACCUUUCAUCCAUGGCAGAGAUGGAAGCCUGAAGGUAGUCAGAUUCAUCUUCAUCAUUCAUUGC